RNAcentral lists this ribosomal RNA (479 nucleotides) under uncultured bacterium. Its description in RNAcentral is "partial 16S ribosomal RNA". It matches the Rfam family "Bacterial small subunit ribosomal RNA", at positions 28 to 523 of the family's 1533-position model. The record is from RNAcentral.
AACGAACGCUGGCGGCAGGCUUAACACAUGCAAGUCGAACGGUAAGGCCCUUCGGGGUACACGAGUGGCGAACGGGUGAGUAACACGUGGGUGAUCUACCCUGCACUUCGGGAUAAGCCUGGGAAACUGGGUCUAAUACCGGAUACGACCACUCCACGCAUGUGGUGGUGGUGGAAACUUUUUUGGGUGGGGGAUGUGCUCGCGGCCUAUCAGCUUGUUGGUGGGGUAAUGGCCUACCAAGGCUUUGACGGGUAGCCGGCCUGAGAGGGUGACCGGCCACACUGGGACUGAGACACGGCCCAGACUCCUACGGGAGGCAGCAGUGGGGAAUAUUGGACAAUGGGCGGAAGCCUGAUCCAGCAACGCCGCGUGAGGGAUGACGGCCUUCGGGUUGUAAACCUCUUUCAGCACCGACGAAGCGCAAGUGACGGUAGGUGCAGAAGAAGGACCGGCCAACUACGUGCCAGCCGCCGCCGUAA